RNAcentral lists this ribosomal RNA (660 nucleotides) under uncultured Actinomycetes bacterium. RNAcentral's name for it is "bacterial SSU rRNA". It matches the Rfam family "Bacterial small subunit ribosomal RNA", at positions 232 to 885 of the family's 1533-position model. The record is from RNAcentral. Lineage: Bacteria; Bacillati; Actinomycetota; Actinomycetes.
CGCGGCCUAUCAGCUUGUUGGUGAGGUAACGGCUCACCAAGGCAUCGACGGGUAGCUGGUCUGAGAGGAUGAUCAGCCACACCGGGACUGAGACACGGCCCGGACACCUACGGGUGGCAGCAGUUUCGAAUCAUUCACAAUGGGCGAAAGCCUGAUGAUGCAAUGCCGCGUGGAGGAUGACGGCCUUAGGGUUGUAAACUCCUGUCAUUAGGGAACAACAAGCAGGUUUAUAGCCUGCCCUGAGUUAACCUAAAGAGGAAGAGGUGGCUAACUCCGUGCCAGCAGCCGCGGUAAUACGGAGACCUCGAGCGUUGUCCGGAUUUAUUGGGCGUAAAGAGCUCGUAGGCGGUUCAACAAGUCGGUCGUAAAAGUUCAGGGCUCAACCCUGAAAUGUCGAUCGAUACUGUUGUGACUAGGAUACGGUAGAGGUGAGUGGAAUUCCGAGUGUAGCGGUGAAAUGCGUAGAUAUUCGGAGGAACACCAAUUGCGAAGGCAGCUCACUGGGCCGCUAUCGACGCUGAGGAGCGAAAGCUAGGGGAGCAAACAGGAUUAGAUACCCUGGUAGUCCUAGCUGUAAACGAUGGAUACUAGACGUAGGAACUGGAUUGACGGUUUCUGUGUCGUAGCUAACGCGUUAAGUACCCCGCCUGGGGAGUACGG